UGCCAGCCGCCGCGGUAAUACGUAGGGUGCGAGCGUUAACCGGAAUUACUGGGCGUAAAGCGCACGUAGGCGGAUUGUUUAGUCGGGGGUGAAAUCCCGUGGCUCAACCCCGGAACUGCCUCCGAUACUGGCAAUCUGGAGUCCGGAAGAGGUGGGUGGAAUUCCUAGUGUAGAGGUGAAAUUCUUAGAUAUUAGGAAGAACACCGGUGGCGAAGGCGGCCCACUGGUCCGGUACUGACGCUGAGGUGCGAAAGCGUGGGGAGCAAACAGGAUUAGAUA
This 279-nucleotide ribosomal RNA is filed under the name uncultured bacterium. Its description in RNAcentral is "partial 16S ribosomal RNA". It matches the Rfam family "Bacterial small subunit ribosomal RNA", at positions 506 to 784 of the family's 1533-position model. The record is from RNAcentral.